This 414-nucleotide ribosomal RNA is filed under the name uncultured bacterium. RNAcentral describes it as "bacterial SSU rRNA". It matches the Rfam family "Bacterial small subunit ribosomal RNA", at positions 954 to 1363 of the family's 1533-position model. The record is from RNAcentral.
GCAUAACGCGAAGAACCUUACCUAGGCUUGACAUGCAUCUCUAAGCACGUGAAAGCGUGUGACCCUUCGGGGAAUUUGCACAGGUGCUGCAUGGCCGUCGUCAGCUCGUGUCGUGAGAUGUUGGGUUAAGUCCCGCAACGAGCGCAACCCUUGUGACUAGUUGCCAGCACGUUAUGGUGGGAACUCUAGUCAGACUGCCCAGAUCAACUGGGAGGAAGGUGGGGACGACGUCAGGUCAGUAUGGCCCUUACGCCUAGGGCUGCACACGUACUACAAUGCCCAGCACAAUGAGAACCGAGACCGCGAGGUGGAGGAAAUCAGCAAAACUGGGCUCAGUUCAGAUUGCAGUCUGCAACUCAACUGCAUGAAGUUGGAAUCGCUAGUAAUGGUACAUCGAGCGUACGGUACGUAGAA